Long non-coding RNA from Raphanus sativus (radish), 1844 nucleotides. RefSeq lists it as uncharacterized. The record is from RefSeq and is a predicted model, not a curated record. NCBI's taxonomy places the organism in Eukaryota, Viridiplantae, Streptophyta, Magnoliopsida, Brassicales, Brassicaceae. The transcript has 8 exons.
AGCUUCAUCGUCUUCCAGCGUCGAGUCUCUUCCUCCCCCUCCCCGACACUUCAUCUUCUCCAAACGUAUGCUUUUACCGUUACUUUCUCAAUCAAUGACGCUGUCAAAGCUAUUCUUCAAUGUUGUGGUCCAUCUCCCCUUGAUACUUCUCUUAUAUAAAUCUCUGUCUCAAAACCUAAAACCACCCUAAAUUAAAAAACCUAAUCUGCAAAAAAUACAUUCAUGGCAAUGAAAUAGUCUCAGCUUAUCACCAGAAAAUAUCCCGUCGCCAUGUGUUUCAACGACAUCUCACCAUGAUGUUCUGAGUCACAGCUUCAAUUCAGGAAACAAAUCUCGGACGCCUAGAUCUGGAAACCAUGAAGCAUCUGAACCCAAAACUAUGACUAAUGUUCACAGGGACGGCAAUGACGGGGACGAUAGAGAAGAAGGGACAACAAUCGUUGAGAUAUUAAAAAAAAACAGCCUUUAGAUAAAAUACUCCUAGGAGGGAGACAAAAAUGAGAGGACUAAAUCAUCUUCAGAUGCUCGAACCAGUGCUCGUGCUUGAAUCGACCAUCCUUGCUUCCGCCUUCCGGUUGGUUUAAAGAAAGGUGCAGCCAAGUGUGUAAGAAAUCCAAGGUGUCUAAUGCUAACUUCCACUGGACACAACUUUAAUGGAUGGAAACCAUACCUAUGGUCUGAAUUAUUAACCCUUGAGUUGCUUAGCAAGUGAUGCUUAGUACUGAACCAACAACUAAGCUCACAUUUGCAGUCUCAGUGUUUAUGAUUUUCGCUCCUGGUUUGUAGAGACAGAGGGUAAAAGCUAUGAUCGGGUCAGUCGGACAGAGAUCGCGAUGUUGGUGAGAUUACAAGUUUGGAUUAGACAAGGGAGCAAUCGUUUGUGUAGGAGAACCAAAGGCUUCCGAGCUCCAGAGGAUUCCUUCUGACGUGUGGUCAGCAGGAGUAAGAUUAACUUUGUCUCAUUGAUUUGUUAGGAUUGCAGAGCCUGGUUUGUUAAUCCUCUCUCUUUUAUACCAAAUUAGUUUCUGCUCUAUUGAACAUAAUUGCAUUUCCAUUUUCUCUUCCUGGACAUUGAGAGAUCAUGAAGAAUUCGAGGUUAAGAUCAAUGGUUUAGUUGAAACUGCACCAGUUCCUGAAGAAGUCUAGAAUAUCCACUACGGUACUCUUUGGCCCGGUAAUAAUGUGCCAUGAUCAAGGUCUUCCUUGGAAACAAAGGUCUUAACGAUGUAGAAACCUACGAGCUCCCUAGGCUGGUUUAUGUUCUCGUGAGGAGGGAGCCCAGAUCCGACCAUCUUAAGAAGGUUGAAGAAAUAACUUUAUUGGUAAACGAUUAAGCUUAAUCUUUGAUUGUAUUAUUUAAACUUAAAUAUAAUGUUCUCUCGCAAACUUAACUGUGAUCACUACAUCAACAAUAGCAAAGCUCACAGGAGCAAUGUGUUUCCCAAAGGAUCCUUAGUCGGGAAAAAGCUCUGUUAUGUCAAUUCCCUGAACAAGCACUAUUAUUAGCAGCACUUGAAAGUUGACCAUCAUGACUAUUUUUUUAUCCCCACCCACAACAAAGAGACUUCUUACGGUAAAAAAUAACAUAUAUCAACUCUAGGGUCAUGUAUCUGUGAUUUCCAUCGUUUCCUCCCCAAAUAGAGUUUUCCAAGGAGCUAGAAAACAGAGAAUGUGAGUUUUGGAAUCCGGGACAUACGGAUUUGCAACACUUGAAGUAGUGUUCUUGAACAACGUCCUAAACUAGAAAGUGCAAACACUGAACGGCUCAAGGAACCAUGGACACUCUCGAUUUUGAAUCUGGCAUUUCAUUAAAUGUAAUCCAAUAUGCAGCAGAGAAUCCAAGC